UACAGAGGGUGCAAACGUUGUUCGGAAUUACUGGGCGUAAAGCGCGUGUAGGCUGCUUGGAAAGUCGGAUGUGAAAGCCCUGGGCUCAACCCAGGAAGUGCACUCGAAACUUCCGAGCUCGAGUUCUGGAGAGGAUAGCGGAAUUCUCGGUGUAGAGGUGAAAUUCGUAGAUAUCGAGAGGAACACCGGUGGCGAAGGCGGCUAUCUGGACAGAAACUGACGCUGAGACGCGAAAGCGUGGGGAGCAAACAGG
RNAcentral lists this ribosomal RNA (253 nucleotides) under uncultured bacterium. Its description in RNAcentral is "partial 16S ribosomal RNA". It matches the Rfam family "Bacterial small subunit ribosomal RNA", at positions 524 to 776 of the family's 1533-position model. The record is from RNAcentral.